GUCCGCGCCGUAAACGGUGGGCGCUAGUUGUGGGGACCUUCCACGGUUUCUGCGACGCAGCUAACGCAUUAAGCGCCCCGCCUGGGGAGUACGAUCGCAAGAUUAAAACUCAAAGGAAUUGACGGGGCCCCGCACAAGCAGCGGAGCAUGCGGCUUAAUUCGACGCAACGCGAAGAACCUUACCAAGGCUUGACAUAUAGGGAAAAGCAGCAGAGAUGUUGUGUCCGCAAGGGCUCUAUACAGGUGGUGCAUGGUUGUCGU
This 261-nucleotide ribosomal RNA is filed under the name uncultured bacterium. Its description in RNAcentral is "partial 16S ribosomal RNA". It matches the Rfam family "Bacterial small subunit ribosomal RNA", at positions 793 to 1055 of the family's 1533-position model. The record is from RNAcentral.